UCUUCAACUACAGGCUGCUACUGUUGCUAAUAUGCAACUCUGUUAUGUCAAAAUUGGAAUUGCACUUUAGCAAUGGUGAUGGACUGUAAGACACAC
Molecule: microRNA precursor, 96 nt
Filed under: Alligator mississippiensis (American alligator)
Lineage: Eukaryota; Metazoa; Chordata; Crocodylia; Alligatoridae
Description: microRNA ami-mir-367 precursor
Gene: ami-mir-367
Rfam family: mir-367 microRNA precursor family (bases 15-82)
Source: miRBase by way of RNAcentral